This is a long non-coding RNA of Spinacia oleracea (spinach), 692 nucleotides long. RefSeq lists it as uncharacterized. Lineage: Eukaryota; Viridiplantae; Streptophyta; Magnoliopsida; Caryophyllales; Amaranthaceae. The transcript is spliced from 5 exons. The record is from RefSeq and is a predicted model, not a curated record.
UUUUUUUUUUUGGGUUUCCCUCCCUCUCACGUUUUCACUGUUUUGUUUUGCUCCCCAAACCCUUAAUUCCUUAAACACUUUCUACAGUUCUACCUCUUUUAGUUCGAUUUCUUCCUCUUCGCCGUUCUCCUUCAUCCUUUUCAUCAUCAUUCUUUGGAGAUUUGCGUUUCUGAAUUGUUGAUUGGGUCUUGGAGAUAAGAGAAAUUGGUGAAUGGGUCUUUGAAUUGGAGAUGAGAGACAUUGGAGAAUCGUGUUUCUGAAUUGGCGAGAAGAACAAGGUUAUUUGUUUGGGAGGUCAAAGCAGCUAAUAUAACUAUUAGUCCUGCUCACCGUGCUACAGUUCGUGAAGUUGAUUCUAACAAGGGAAUUUCACUCCAGUUUCCACGUUUGGUUCGUCUUAGAGCAGAUAAAGCUCCAGAGGACGCAACAUCAUAUGUUCAAUUGCUGCAAUGGAAGCAUUUGUUGGGCUCUAUCUAGAACUUGGUUUGGGUGGUAGAUAAAAGGAUGGCAUGAAGGGAAUAGAUUGAAGUUCUUUUGGACUGAUUUGGACAAAUAAAUUAAAUACUACAUAGAUUUUAGAUUGCUUAAACUAAUACUCCGUAGUUUUCAUAUUAUAACAAUGGUUUUCGUUAUUAGAAUGGUUUUUAUGGAUAUUUUAUUUUAAUAAUAAGUAAAACUUAAUUCGAAAUAAA